CUCCGACAUAGCUAAAUCCUUCGCGCUGGGCAAGGAUAAGACCGGUUACAUUAUUAAAUUUGGUAUUGCAGCAUAUUUUAAAAAGCAACUGGUUGAGACCAUAAACAAUGCUGGGCCGUUCGUCCUAAUGUUUGACGAGAGCCUCAACAAAUCCUCAAAAAAAAAACAGAUAGAUAUACAUAUUCGUAUUUUGGAGGAUGGUUGUGUCAGGUCAAGAUAUUUUGGCUCCGAAUUCCUGGGACAUGCAGGAGCUGAUGAUCUGCUGCAGCACAUCAAAGUAAGUUUACUUUCCUAUAACUAUAACGACAAAGCUCUGUUUGUUUGUGUAUAUAUAUUAAUAAAGCUACAAAUGUCCCACUUUGACAACGUUAAUGCGCUAAGAAAUGCACGUGAUAAAUGUUGGGUAACUGACCACCGGGCAUUACGUCAGGUAACAUGUAAGUUUCACUUUUGACUUGCGUUGGCUACUACACAUCGAAGUGCGGUGUGGAGGUUUUAAAAAAGAAAAAAAGAAAGUAGACCGUGUACACUGUGAAAUUAAGUGAAAUGUACACUGGAGGAAUCUAGCACGACUGCGGUCCACUUUAAAAAAAUAAAAAAAUAAUUAAUUAAUUAAAACGGUUAACCGUGUACACGAAAAAAAAAAAAAAACACCAAUAGUGAGCCACCGCUGGGGAACCAAUGAUCUAACUUUGACAAAGCAGUCCUUGACAUAGGCCUAAUAUCUAUAUCUGCAUCUGUUUAAUUUGAAGCAUAUACAGUAUUACUGUCUGUCCGUAUAUUGAGUGUGGUUUACUUCAACAAUAAAUGUUAUUCAAACAAACUUUCUAAUGUGUGACAAUUCACAGGAAUGUGUUGCACAACUCAAAAUGAAGCAGCUUCUCUCGGUAGGAAUGGAUGGCCCCAAUGUCAACUUCAAACUCCUGGAUCUCCUUCAAAAGGAGCAUGCUGAGCUGCAUGGAGGUUCUCAAAUCCUGAUGGUUGGGAGCUGUGGACUUCACACCCUCCACAAUGCCAUGAAGGCAGGCUUUACAGCCUGGCAAAUUGACAAACUCCUGCGAGCGCUCCAUUUCCUCUUCCACAACGUUCCUGCCCGGAGAGAGGACUACACCAACAUCACUGGGUCCUCUUGCUUUCCCCUCUCUUUUUGCGGCCACAGAUGGGUGGAAAAUGUGCCGGUUGCAGAGAGAGUCCUGGAAGUUUGGCCCAUGAUUCAGACGUAUGUCAAUGCUGCUGAGAAUAAUAGGGUCCAAAAACCGAACACAGCCUCUUAUGACGCCAUCCUGGCAGCACAAGGAGAUCCAGUAUUAAUUCCGAAGCUUCAAUUCUUCCUUCCCAUUGCAAGAAGUUUUAACCCUUUUCUGAAGAAAUAUCAAACGGACGAGCCAGUGUUGCCUUUUUUGGCAAAGGAUUUAACUGAGCUCCUGAUGAGUUUACUGCAGCGUUUCAUCAAAAGGGAUCUCCUACAGGACCGAACCUCCCUGCAGUUGAUCAAAUUGGACGUCUCUGAG
This 1511-nucleotide long non-coding RNA is filed under the name Gadus morhua (Atlantic cod). Its description in RNAcentral is "lncRNA (ENSGMOG00000033455.1)". Lineage: Eukaryota; Metazoa; Chordata; Actinopteri; Gadiformes; Gadidae. The record is from RNAcentral.